GAUGAACGCUGGCGGCGUGCCUAACACAUGCAAGUCGAACGCUGAAGGCGGAGCUUGCUCUUCUGGACGAGUUGCGAACGGGUGAGUAACGCGUGGGUAACCUGCCUGGUAGCGGGGGAUAACUAUUGGAAACGAUAGCUAAUACCGCAUGACAGCAGCUAUUGCAUGAUAACUGUUUAAAAGGUGCAACUGCUCCACUACCAGAUGGACCUGCGUUGUAUUAGCGAGUUGGUGAGGUAUCGGCUCACCAAGGCGGCGAUCCAUAUCGCCCCGGAGAGGGGGGGCGGCCGCACUGAGACGGUGACAGGGCACAGUGGGCUUCGGGAGGCAGCAGGAGGGAAUCGUGGGCAAUGGGCGGGAGACUGUGCGCGCAGCGCCGAGUGAUGGAGGAGGAAUGUCGGAUCGGGAAGCUCGGUUGUAGGAGAGGAACGAGUGUGAGCGUGUGAAGUUCACUCUGUGACGGUAUCUGACCAGGAAGGGACGGCUAACUACGUG
RNAcentral lists this ribosomal RNA (495 nucleotides) under uncultured bacterium. Its description in RNAcentral is "partial 16S ribosomal RNA". It matches the Rfam family "Bacterial small subunit ribosomal RNA", at positions 28 to 507 of the family's 1533-position model. The record is from RNAcentral.